Cyprinus carpio carpio is the source of this 655-nucleotide long non-coding RNA. The record is from Ensembl. NCBI's taxonomy places the organism in Eukaryota, Metazoa, Chordata, Actinopteri, Cypriniformes, Cyprinidae.
GUGGCGCUGUCGAGCCAUUUUUGCCACACCCUCUUCUGAAGCCUAUAUCAGACGUAAAUUUUCACCAGGUCUGACGCGUGUGCAAAGUUUCAGGACUUUUCGAGCAUGUUUAGGCCCUCAAAAAUGCGAUUCAUUUUGGAGAAGAAGAAGAAGAAUAAUAAUAAUAAUUAAAGCUGCAAGCAGCGAUGAACGGGCCCUCGCACCCGGGCUCACCACCACCGGGUGGCUUUUGUAAAACAGCGAACGGCGAGAAAUAUGCGUUUAAUGUGGUAAAUAUAAGAGGAAUAUGCCAAAGUCAUUUAUAUGUGCCAAUCUUCCUGCUGCCAGCUGGUGGCGCUAUGACUAUAACUGGAUUUUGUCAUGUAGAUUUCUUCAGUCCAGCACUUUUAUCAAGCAUAUGAAAUUUAGGGCAGAUUGAACAUGGAAUGUUUGAGUUAGUAUAAAGUAUGUUGUGUCCUAUUGCCAACAGGUGGCGCUAUGAUUAUAACUGAAUAUUGGCCUUUAGAUAUCUUCAGGCCAUGACUCUUUCCAAAUAUUUGAAGUUUGGUGCAGAUUGGACAUUGCAUGUUUAAGUUAGUGUAAAAUAAGCCAUUUUCUGUUGUCAGCAGGUGGCGCUAUGAUUAUAGUGGAAUAAUGACCUUCAGAUGUGUUCAGG